RNAcentral lists this long non-coding RNA (494 nucleotides) under Manihot esculenta (cassava). RNAcentral describes it as "long non-coding RNA (MESC_LNC008051)". The record is from RNAcentral. Lineage: Eukaryota; Viridiplantae; Streptophyta; Magnoliopsida; Malpighiales; Euphorbiaceae.
GGGCUUCCUCUCCUGGUAGGCCUCCUCUUCCCAUGUUUCACUCCCCAUUCUUCCGGUGGUUUCGGCGGAGUAGCUAUCGACUUCAUCAUUUUCUAUCAUCUCCCUCGCCCUUCUCCCAUGAACUCGAGCUGCCGGCUCUUCCUCUUCUUCGGCUCUCCUCCUCCCGUCUCCAGUUUCUUGGCUGACAGUUCUGGGGUGGUUGAAGGUAGGCUGAGGUUCGUUGGUCUGGGGUUCUUCUACCACCAGUGACACGUUGGCGGGGUGCUAAGGUCCCGUUGUUGCAUUAUCUGCCCCAACUAGUGGGCGGUGCUCUGUAGUUGAAGGGCCAUGGUUUGGAGGUCUUGGUUGGACAAGGUGGCGGCGGAAGCAUUCCCCGCCAGGCUUGGCGAGGGGUUGAAAGGGAUUGGUGUUUGGCUAUUUGGUGUUGUAGGACUAGAAAAAGAGAACUGCUGCCCCUCUUGGGCAGAGCUCAGGUCAUUUGGAGUGACAAGAUU